Molecule: small nucleolar RNA, 90 nt
Filed under: Acanthisitta chloris (rifleman)
Lineage: Eukaryota; Metazoa; Chordata; Aves; Passeriformes; Acanthisittidae
Description: Small nucleolar RNA SNORD11
Rfam family: Small nucleolar RNA SNORD11
Source: Rfam by way of RNAcentral
GUAGUCUGUGAUGAUAAAGUUAGUUCUCAGAUGGCCUGAAUUCUUUUUGGAAUAUGAAGGCAUCAUAAGUCACUACCUCUUCUGAGACAC